AAAAAAGAGAAGGGUCAUCGUCAUAACGGCUAGCCAAAUCAUUCACCGUCAGCUUUUCAAUUGGUAUUAACUCCCAAUCCGAUCUCGGGUCCAAUUCCGGUUCCGAUUCUGAUUCCUGUUCCAAUUCCGUAUCUAAUUGUGGUCCCAAUUUCGGUUCCGGUUUCGGUUUCGGUUCCGGUUCCGGCUCCGGUUCCGAUGCCGUAUCCGUAUCCGAUCCCGAUGCAAUAUAUGGUUCCAGUACCAGUUCCGAUAGCUUAUCCGGUACCGAUUUCAGCUGCUUUUCAUCGGAGAUUUCAGGGGGUGAUUAGGUGACGGGGAGCAAGAGUGAAUCCAUGGACAUUGGGCAAGAAGGAUCGAAGGAAUCGCAAUUCAUUCAAAUUCACAUAAACCUAACUAAAGAGACUAGUCCUCUUUAAUAAGCAAAAAGAAGUAUGGGCCUGGUCUUGUUUUUUAACCGCCCAAUAACAAAUCCUAUCGUUGUUUAUCUAUUUAUCACAUUUUCCUUUGUUCUUCAACAAGGGUGAUUUAUGUGUAAAAGUUACAUUUUUAUCUUAUUUAAUUAUAAUAUUUAGGUCUUUAA
RNAcentral lists this long non-coding RNA (580 nucleotides) under Cicer arietinum (chickpea). Its description in RNAcentral is "long non-coding RNA (CARI_LNC001628)". The record is from RNAcentral. Lineage: Eukaryota; Viridiplantae; Streptophyta; Magnoliopsida; Fabales; Fabaceae.